RNAcentral lists this non-coding RNA (21 nucleotides) under Caenorhabditis elegans. The record is from RNAcentral. Lineage: Eukaryota; Metazoa; Nematoda; Chromadorea; Rhabditida; Rhabditidae.
UUGAUUACGCCUUGGGUCGAA